GAUUACACAAUUUAACAUAGUGUUUGAACAUACAGAGAUUCUAGGUUCAAGUCUCAUGUCACCAAGAUUAUACUUUUAGAUGAAUAGUCACACCGUCUAACAGAGCACAAAUUACACAAAUUAAGUUGAGAUUUUUCAUAUUUCAAGAUCUGGGUUCAUUGAGUAUAUGGAACAAGAAAGAGUACAUGUUCGAUAUUUUUUCGAAAACAUGAAACAGAAAAAUGUACUGUACAUUUUGACAAUGUAUACCUCAUAGAACAUAAACCUUCGUCAUGACCUUUUGCUUGGCUUUCUCAUCGAGAUACUGAAACUUCAACAAUACUUUCUGUAAAUCAUGGAUAACCCCGUCAGUGAAUUAAGCUCCAAUCAAAUGUAUUCAACUGAUAAAUUAUACUUAAGUAAACAUAUAGAGCUACACCAAUAAACUCACUUUCCACAUAACCUAGUUUUAGUAGUCAAUGUACUAUAUUAAAAUAAUAUAUAUACAGAUAUCCAAACCGUAUAUACUCGUGUAAAAGUGUGUGGGGUGUUGCAAAAAGGGAUUUAACUAGGAGUAUUAUAUUUCUUGAGAAUCAGAAGCAGUAAGAAGGUAACUAACUUUAAGCUUAAAUAAGGGGAUGAAACUGAGAGUAUGCAAGAAAUUAGAGAGAAAGCUUAGCUAACCAUCAUCUUUUAAGUGAGAGCCUAAGGCUUCAAGAUCUGAGCUUACUGUAUAAAAGUAAGUAGCAGUUUGUAGUGACCCGACAGGUCAUUUUGUGUAUUUGAGCCUUGUUUUCCCUUUUUGAAGCUUCCCGUUUGUUGUGAUUUUAUAACUUAAGG
RNAcentral lists this long non-coding RNA (819 nucleotides) under Nicotiana tabacum (common tobacco). RNAcentral's name for it is "long non-coding RNA (NTAB_LNC002480)". Lineage: Eukaryota; Viridiplantae; Streptophyta; Magnoliopsida; Solanales; Solanaceae. The record is from RNAcentral.